UGUUGAUAGGGAUGGUCUAAGGUUGAGGGUGUGUCAGGGAUCCGACAAAAUUUUCUAAGCCUAUUCGACAUCAAAAGCAAAUUCUGAGCUAGCCCCAUGACACUAGAUGUAGUCCAAUAUAGACUCACGGCCUGAAAAUUGAAAACUGUACAGAACAACUUUUUAAGAUAAAGAAAUAAACUUACAGAAGGAACUGUGGCUGAUAUAGGUAUUAUAAGUAAGGUGAAUAUUCUAAAAAAAUUGGUAGCAUAUCUUUGGAAUCGUGUGGGGUCCUGCAAUCUUCUUAAGGCUUGAAUCUGAAAAUGUGGAAGACAUCUGUGCAGAUCUUAUAAAGCAACCUCAAGGGGGCAUUGAUGGCCGCAACAGUUUAGGCGUUGACACGGUGCUCAUCUCUGUACGGUAAAGGUCCCGGGUUCGAAUCCCUACAUUCCAACCCGACAUACAAAUGAGCUUUUUAUUUUCCACCGGCACCCUGAGGGUUUAUAUGACCUCUGCUGUUGCGUAAAAAAAAAGGUAAGAAGAUAGAACAGCUGUGUCAUCGACAAAAGAUUCAAGGAGGAUGGUAAGUAUAGUGAGAACGUAUGCAGUAUAAAGGACAUAGAUGGCUGAUACUCCAGUAGCCAGCCAGAGAGCAGUAUUUGGAAUAAUCUCAUACUUGUUGGACCCAAAAGGACCACUCUAUUAGAAAAUCUGUGUCACAGGGGAGAUUUGAACCCACAACCUUUCGCUCAAUACGCCGCUGCUCUAUUUCAGCUGCCGUGAAUUCGAUCGCCCAUGCCACAAACCCCUCACCCUGAUUACCAAAUUGUUCAACAUUCUACCCACCCUUAAGAAAUUGUAACCAAAAAGAAAAAAGAAGAGAAUUGGAGAUUUCUAGAAGCCAAAUACACUUUUCAUCUCAACACUAUCUUCAACAUAUUCUUAACAUAACUUAAAUGAUCUGCUAAACAAAGAUUGGGGGUAGUGUCAAAUUAAAUAAUAUAUAAAAAAUAUUUUGUAAAAUUACCUCAAUUAUACUUAAAUUAGAAAGGGCUAAAAUUAUUGGAAGGAUUAAAUAUUCAUCUGGUUGAGCAAGAUUUGGAAUCCAUAGAAAUCCACCAACUGCCAACUGCAAAUAUAAGACCUGGG
RNAcentral lists this long non-coding RNA (1128 nucleotides) under Cimex lectularius (bed bug). RNAcentral's name for it is "uncharacterized LOC106674113, transcript variant X2". Lineage: Eukaryota; Metazoa; Arthropoda; Insecta; Hemiptera; Cimicidae. The record is from RNAcentral.